GAACAAAUGUGGCACAGUGGUUUGAGUGUUGGAGUGCGAAUCUGGAGACCAGGGUUCGAUUCCCAGCUCGGCCA
Phrynosoma platyrhinos (Desert horned lizard) is the source of this 74-nucleotide non-coding RNA. Lineage: Eukaryota; Metazoa; Chordata; Lepidosauria; Squamata; Phrynosomatidae. The record is from the annotation of a GenBank genome assembly.